RNAcentral lists this long non-coding RNA (5451 nucleotides) under Sus scrofa (pig). RNAcentral describes it as "lncRNA (ENSSSCG00015054071.1)". The record is from RNAcentral. Lineage: Eukaryota; Metazoa; Chordata; Mammalia; Artiodactyla; Suidae.
GCAGUUUGCGGACCCAAGGGCCAGGCGGCGACUGUUUCCUCGGCACAGCACAAAGGCGGCUCGUGAAGAGAGGUGCGGGCAGGUAGCUGAAGUCUGGGGGAGGGCGGUGCUGGCGGCUUCAAGAGCCUCUGCACACGCCCCUCCAACGAACAGCCAAAUGUCUGGAAAAUAAAAGGAUGACCAGUGGAGAAAGAAACGUAACCAAUAAGAGAUAUGUGAGGAGAUUUAUUAUGAUAAACUGCUCACAGAUUAUGGACCCUGAGAAGACCCACAGUCUACCACCUGCAAGUUGGAGACUCAGGAAAGCCAGCGGUGUCAUUCCACUCUGAGUUUGAAAGCCUGAGAAUCAGGGCAGCUGAUGGUAUAAAUCCUAGUCUGAAGACAAGGGAAGACCAAUAUCCAGCUCAGGGAGCAGACAGAAAGCAAAAGGGGGUUCACAGCCAGUCCAGGACAGGCUCCACAUGUCAGGCGUGGACGAAGUUGUGCAGAAGUGUAAUUACGUCGUGGUCAAUGCAGUGUUCGCUUUUGUAAGUCAGCGCAAAACAUGCCACAGACACAUUCUGUGAAUAACGUUCUGUGGCUAAAAUUCCUUGUAAUGAAAACACAAAGUUAUAUGAAAUAGAAUGACACUUGCUACUCCAGUUAACUCCACUCUGUACCUGGGGGUUCUGACUCCAUAUGUGGUUUUGGCGGUGUGUUGCUGUGCUAGAUCCUUCCACAUUCAACAAGUGGCAGACUAUGUAAAAGGUAAGAGUCCCCAGGGCAAAGUCACUGAGCCAUGAUAUCUGUAAUUUAUACUGGGGCAUCUGAAACCUGUAUGAGAAUUUUCAAGAAACCCAUAGGAAUGGGAAUAUCACAUACAAAUUGAGCACAAUGAGAAACUUUUUAAUAGGGUCCAAGGGAGAACAAAAGAGGUAGAUCUCCACAGCCUCGGAAGAGUCAACAGCAGUGGAAAGAAGGCAAGUUUUUCCCAGAGUCCUCAUGUGGAGCACCUGUGCCCUUUCUUUCCAUCUGAUCUCCUAACACAGAGAAGCACAACCUCAGAGAAUACAGCUUGUCCCCCACGGACUUGUUCCUGGCCCCUGAAGUUGUCCUCAUAGGGGGUCCCUGGGCUCCAUCUGCAGCUAUUCUGCCAACCCCCUUCCUACAACCAAGCUCCCCAGGCACAAUCUUGGUCAGGAACAACUUAAGGAAAUUGAGCCUGGAAUUCAGUGUCUGCUUUAGUUCUGAUACUCAGGCUUGUUCCAUCCCUAUUCAUUGGUCUUAGAACUGCCUCCCUGCUGUAUUUCUUCUCCUUGUCUUGGUGAUUUAUCUCUUAAGGGUCCUUCAAGAACUAAAGCUCACCUCGUUACUAUUUUCAGCCUCCAGGCCUCUUUUGGACCUCAGAUGAAGGGCUGGGACUGUCAGUCCCUGACAGUUUCUGGAUUCUUCAGCAUUAUGCCCCAAAGCUGGCAGCCUUCUGGUUGGACUACAGCCAGGUCAGAUACAGACUUCCUUUGCUGUUAGGCUUGGCCUAUACCCCUAUUGCCUGCCUGCCGCCGCCGUAUAGGCAGAAGCAGCUCCCAAAUCUUCCCUUUCCCAUCCAUCCUGCCUUCUUCAGGUUAACUAGGUCAUUUCAGACAGUGUCCCAAGGUAGGAAGGCUUGAGCUCAAGAGGCUAACUUCUUCCUGCUGAGUGCUAACUGCAGCUAGAAGAGUAAUUCCUAUAGCUCUGUAUCAAGAUGCUUCUUCUUUUGUGACUGCCAUGCUCUUCAGGCUUUAUUUAGGACUGUUAAUGUCAUGUACGCUAUUUACUGGUCAAAUUAAGACUAUUAUUAUAGAGUCACUGAAAGUCUUGAUUUUAAAGAUAACUUCAUGUUUUAGGAAAAUAAUCAUGAUUUAAUGUUUGGGGGGCAAGCAGGAUACAGAACUAUGUCAAGCUGUGUGAGCUCAUUGUGGCAGACAUCAUGUGGGAUUUGGGCUGCUCAGUAUCUAAACUCCCUUCCCAGGUUUAAGGAAUUUCCCACCAUGUGAUUCUACAUGUGCAGUGAAGGCCCCCUACCUUUAGAGAAGCAAAGAAUUAAGAGGCCUUUCUGUCACUGCUCCCUGACAGCUGGGGCAGGCAUGUGGCCUUGACUCAAUUAAGCACCCACCCAGACUUGGAAUUGGGGACCAGCGAUUCACAGAAGCAAGGACUAUGGAAACUCCAUCCUAUCAGUGAAGGUGACACAGUUACCAGGGCAGCAGGGCUGUCAGGGCCAGCAGAACCAGCAUUGUAUCUGGCCUCUGGUUCUGUUUCAGUUAUUGUAUUUUGCAUCUCUUCUUGCUUAAGUUUUAUAUUUUGUAUCUCUUUGCUCAGUGUUUCCUGUAAAUUAUCCGUCUUUGCCUCCAGUUUAUUUCUAAUGUCUUGCAUCAUCUUCUGCAUCAACAGUCUAAAGUCUUUUUCCUGGAGGCUGAGAAUCUUCUAAUCACUUAGCUGUUUUUCUGGGAUUUUUUUUCUUUCUCCCUUCUCUGACUUAUAGUUCUCUGUCUUUUCAUUUUUAUAGGUUUUUGGUCUGGUGACUUUUUUUACAGAUAAUAGAGUUGUAGCCUCUCUUAAUUCUGGCAUCCGCCCCCCUUGUGGCUGAAGUUGGUAUAGGGGCUUGCUGUAGGCUUCCUAAUGGGAGGGACUGAUGCCUGUCCGCUGGUAGGUGGUGCUGAUUCCUAUCCCUCUGGUGGGUGGGGCUUUGUCUCUGGGUGAGAUUAGAGGCACUGGAGUGCCUGGGGGGUCUGUAGGCAGCCUGUUUACUGAUGGGCAGGGCUGUGAUCCCACCUGGACUGUUGUUUGGCCUGAGGCUUCUCAGCCUGAUGGGUGGAGCCAGAUUUUCCCAAAAUGACCACCUCUCGAUGUGGCCUCCUCUUUGUCUUCUGGAGUAGGAUAUCUUGUUGAAAGUUUCCAGUCCAUUUGGUUGAAGGUUGUUCAGCAUUUGGUUGUAAAUUUUGUUGUUUUUAGGAGAGAAGUUGAGCUCCAGUCCUUCUAUUCUGCCAUCUUAAUCCCAUCUCCUCUGGUUCUGUUUUUUUAAAACCCUCCUUUGUCAUUUUUACUCUUUUUCAGGACUGGUUCUCUAGGCUUUCCUGUGAAUUUCUGAACUAACAAAUAUCUUUUCAGUAAAUUCCUUUCUUCUUAAAGGAGUAACAGCUUUUUCUGUUCAUUGCAGCUAAGAAUUCUGACAAGUGUACCAAUGCUUUUUAAAAUGCAAAGAGAAAAGACUUGAUGUACACUCAUUGUUAAUGAUGGUUAUCUUUAGGUGUAUAGAAUCACAGAUCAUUUUAGUUUUCUUCUUUUUUCCUGGGAACAUUUCCUAAAAAUUUCAGUAAAGUGGUAUUACCUUAGCAGUCAAGAAAGAGCUAAGUUUUAAAAUUGGAGAUUUCCUUGGAUCUCUGAAGUCCUUAAUUGUUGGAAAACAAUUACCUUGAUUAAUCAAGUGGAAUUUUAUUUUGGCACCUGUGACUUCAGUUUUGGCUUGGGCAAGUCAUAGGUAUUGGGGUAAGAGAAAUGCCAAUAUAUUUUGUGAAAAAAAAAAAACCCCGAGACCAGUUCUUACCUCGCAAUCCUGGUCUACUUAUAUUUUUUAUUUGUUUUAGAACUCUAUAGUCCUUUGAUGGGAGGCCUGAGAAUAUUGGACUAUUUUUAGAGAACUUUAACCCAAUUCCAAGCAAUAAGGAGUUUCUUAACACUAAUGUUUAUAAAUGUGUAUAAGCACAAGAACACUGCUCGUAUGAUUCUUUGUUGGUUUCUCCUAAGUAGCUAUCCCAACAGUUUUGUGAAUACUGUAAAUAAUAGUCUAAAAAUACCAGGAUAUUGAACCUACCAGUAAUUCGUGCAGUUGGCUGAGCAGCUACCAGCAAUGGUGUGAGUAACACAGUGGAAACUGUAUAAUGGUGUCCUUCGUUAGAACUAAAUCCCAGCUAUCAAGAGAAAACAAAGAUCACCAUUGAUAGGAAGCAGUGGUCGUCUUGUUUCUAUAAGAGCCUGGGGAGUUUUCAGUAUCCCCGCCUCCCUCUAGGAGAUUGCCUGCUUUUGACCAUGGGUGAGAGAUCAAAGUUACAUGGGAUGAGAGUCUCUUGCCCCUCCAUCAACACUGCUGAGACAGCAGUCAAGGGAACUCUGAAUCUGAUCCAGUUGUGAUCACUGAGUUGCUGCAGCCCUCAGAGUGUGGGGACCCUAUUGAUCAUGCCAAAUGAAGCAUCAAAGCACAGUAAAAUGGAAGAAGCAUAGCAUUUAGUCCAAUGGACUUGGUGUUAGAGCCCAGUCCAAAUAGCCACCAGCUGAUCACAUGAGGCUUUCUGAGCCUCGGUUUCACUACAGAAUGUAGAUAAAAGAAACACCUCAUAGUAUCAAAGGAAAUAGCCCAUGUAAAACUCUGAGUACAGUUUCUGGCUUAUAAUGGGUACUCAGUAAAUGGGACUUCUCUUCCAUCCAUGAGCUCUGCUCCCUUUAUUUUUCUGGGAAAUCCUUUAUCUUUUAGAAAGAGUGACUUCAGAUGCAAUUUUUGCAGAGAUAGUUAUUUUUUCCCAACCUCUCAAAUCUAGUAAAAUGCUAAAAUUACCUUCUAAUUAUUUUCUGGAAAGAGGUGCCUUGCCUGAACCAUGAAAAAUUAUCAAAAAAGGGAAACAUUCGUAGCUCAAUGAAUGAUCUGUGUCAAUAUUGCGUGUGACAAAUAUAUCAUCAUUUAACAUGUAGGAAUCAGCAUUAAAGUGCAGGGAAAAGGUAUUAGAGCAAGCCCAUGAGGUUGAAUAGUGCAACAAAAAAAGAUUGACAUUUGCUUAGUGAGGAUGCCAAGCUUGAGUGAUAAUCAACACUUUCUUCUGCUUGUUGAAUAAGAGGAAUACUCCGUAUUGAGCAAAAUGCCUUCAUAAACUGCUUGGGUGUAGCUAAUUUAUUUGGACAUUAAGAUAUAGUUUUCCCAUAUCCUUCCAAAUAGCAUUUUUGUUGCCAAUAUGUAAAUGGGUCUCCAGUCUCUCAGAAGGUGACACAAGAAAAGAAGUGCAGAAAAGAAGGAAAAUCAAACUAGAAAAGAAAAGAAGCCCUGUCCAAAAAAAUCAAUAAUUUUGCUACUGAGAAAUUGCUACCAUCCUUAUUCAGGAAGGGGUGGAAAGAUCAGACCAAGCUAACUUGUGUGAUAAAUGAGUUUAUAAAGUAGCCUGUACCAGGAGACUAAUUUAAUUGGCUGCUUAAAGUCUGAUAAUAUACCAUGCUACUACAAAUUUUUUCCUUUAUUUUAAUCUUCAAUUUAAGCUGAGUAUAAGGCACACCAUGUCUGCCUAAUGGGACAAGGAACACCAAUUGCUGCUGGGGGCAUACAACCACCUGUGGUAGGAAUUCCCUUUUGGCACAGAAAGUUAAGGAUCCAGCAUUGUCACUGCAGUGGCUUGGGUCACUUCUGUGGUGUGGGUUCGAUUCCUGGCCUGGGAACUUCCAUAUGCCAUGGUG